Non-coding RNA from Mycena metata, 76 nucleotides. The record is from the annotation of a GenBank genome assembly. Lineage: Eukaryota; Fungi; Basidiomycota; Agaricomycetes; Agaricales; Mycenaceae.
GCGCCCUUGGUGUAACGGUAACACACGUUCAUAAACUACUUUCGAGUGGUACCGGGUUCGACUCCCGGAGAGCGCC